RNAcentral lists this ribosomal RNA (464 nucleotides) under uncultured bacterium. RNAcentral's name for it is "partial 16S ribosomal RNA". It matches the Rfam family "Bacterial small subunit ribosomal RNA", at positions 28 to 507 of the family's 1533-position model. The record is from RNAcentral.
AUUGAACGCUGGCGGCAGGCCUAACACAUGCAAGUCGAGCGGAUGAAGGGAGCUUGCUCCUGGAUUCAGCGGCGGACGGGUGAGUAAUGCCUAGGAAUCUGCCUGGUAGUGGGGGAUAACGUCCGGAAACGGGCGCUAAUACCGCAUACGUCCUGAGGGAGAAAGUGGGGGAUCUUCGGACCUCACGCUAUCAGAUGAGCCUAGGUCGGAUUAGCUAGUUGGUGGGGUAGAGGCCUACCAAGGCGGUGAUGGGUAACUGGUCGGAGAGGAUGACAGGUCACAUGGGGACUGAUAUAACGCCCCGGGUCCGACGGGAGGCAGCGGUGGGGAAUAUUGCACAAUGGGCGGAAGCCUGAUGCAGCAAUGCCUCGUGCGGUAUGACGGCCUUCGGGUUGUAAACCGCUGUCGCCUGUGACGAAGCGGGAGUGCCGGUAAUGGGUAAAGAAGCACCGGCUAACUACGUG